UACGGAGGAUGCAAGCGUUAUCCGGAUUUAUUGGGUUUAAAGGGUGCGCAGGUUGUUUGAUAAGUCAGUGGUGAAAGUCUGUCGCUUAACGGUAGGAUUGCCAUUGAUACUGUUAGACUUGAAUAUGGAUGAGGUAGGCGGAAUGUGUAGUGUAGCGGUGAAAUGCAUAGAUAUUACACAGAACACCGAUUGCGAAGGCAGCUUACUAAUCCAUCAUUGACGCUGAGGCAUGAAAGCGUGGGGAUCAAACA
Molecule: ribosomal RNA, 251 nt
Filed under: uncultured prokaryote
Description: partial 16S ribosomal RNA
Rfam family: Bacterial small subunit ribosomal RNA
Source: RNAcentral